UAUACGACCGUACCGCAAACCGACACUGGUGCGCGAGAUGAGUAUUCUAAGGCGCUUGAGAGAACUCAGGAGAAGGAACUCGGCAAAUUGACACCGUAACUUCGGAAGAAGGUGUGCCCUAUUAGUGUGUAGUGAACAACGAAGCAUGAAUGGGUUGCAAAAAAUCGGUGGCUGCGACUGUUUAUUAAAAACACAGCACUCUGCAAACACGAAAGUGGACGUAUAGGGUGUGACGCCUGCCCGGUGCUGGAAGAUUAAAUGAUGGGGUGCAAGCUCUUGAUUGAAGUCCCAGUAAACGGCGGCCGUAACAAUAACGGUCCUAAGGUAGCGAAAUUCCUUGUCGGGUAAGUUCCGACCUGCACGAAUGGCGUAACGAUGGCCACACUGUCUCCUCCUGAGACUCAGCGAAGUUGAAAUGUUUGUGAUGAUGCAAUCUCCCCGCGGAAAGACGGAAAGACCCCAUGAACCUUUACUGUAGCUUGGUAUUGGACUUUGAACAGAUCUGUGUAGGAUAGGUGGGAGGCUUUGAAGCAGGGUCGCUAGAUCUUGUGGAGCCAACGUUGAAAUACCACCCUGGUGUGUUUGAGGUUCUAACCUAGGUCCAUUAUCUGGAUCGGGGACAGUGCAUGGUAGGCAGUUUGACUGGGGCGGUCUCCUCCCAAAGCGUAACGGAGGAGUUCGAAGGUACGCUAGUUACGGUCGGACAUCGUGACGAUAGUGCAAUGGCAUAAGCGUGCUUAACUGCGAGACUGACAAGUCGAGCAGAUGCGAAAGCAGGACAUAGUGAUCCGGUGGUUCUGUAUGGAAGGGCCAUCGCUCAACGGAUAAAAGGUACUCUGGGGAUAACAGGCUGAUACCGCCCAAGAGUUCAUAUCGACGGCGGUGUUUGGCACCUCGAUGUCGGCUCAUCUCAUCCUGGGGCUGUAGCCGGUCCCAAGGGUAUGGCUGUUCGCCAUUUAAAGAGGUACGUGAGCUGGGUUUAAAACGUCGUGAGACAGUUUGGUCCCUAUCUUCCGUGGGCGCUGCAGAUUUGAGGAAGCCUGCUCCUAGUACGAGAGGACCGGAGUGGACACACCUCUGGUGUAUCGGUUGUCACGCCAGUGGCAUUGCCGAGUAGCUAAGUGUGGAAGAGAUAACCGCUGAAAGCAUCUAAGCGGGAAACUCGUUUCAAGAUGAGAUCUGCCGGGGCCUUGAGCCCCCUAAAGAGUCGUUCAAGACCAGGACGUUGAUAGGUCAGGUGUGGAAGC
This 1247-nucleotide ribosomal RNA is filed under the name metagenome. Its description in RNAcentral is "bacterial LSU rRNA". It matches the Rfam family "Bacterial large subunit ribosomal RNA", at positions 1635 to 2874 of the family's 2925-position model. The record is from RNAcentral.